Molecule: long non-coding RNA, 576 nt
Organism: Mus musculus (house mouse)
Lineage: Eukaryota; Metazoa; Chordata; Mammalia; Rodentia; Muridae
Product: predicted gene, 51566
Exons: 3
Source: RefSeq, a predicted model, not a curated record
AGCGUGGGAGAGCCGCCACCAGGGGCUCGCCAGAGGCUCAGGGGCUCCACCUGGCCCAGAACCAACACCAGCUUCUGGCACAGGCCCUCGCAGCAGGCAUCGCUUGAGAAUUAUCUCUGUUUUGAAAGAAGUUGUGUCCUUACCAUCUUUCCUGAUCCUCCAUCACCAUAAAUUCCACCCUCCAUUUUCAGGUACGCUGUGAGGCAUAUGUGACAAGUUGGUUCUGACAGCUUGGGUGUGAAAGGCAUGCCUUAAGACCUUAAGUAAAACUACACAAUUUACUGACACCCUGUAAGCGUGAAGCAUUGUUACAACUUCCUGUAUCCACUCCCUCCAUCCUAAGGCAAGAUGUCUACCCAGACCAUCAGGAGCAUCAUCCCGGACUUAACCGGCUGCCGCUGCCCCCUUGAUAACUGUUGCCUCUUCUGAGAACUAGAGAUGGCCCUGGAAAUUCAGCAUCAUGGUGUUCUUACAGGAUGGGACCACAGACUUCCUGUUUACCCUUGCUUCAGAGCUCUACUUUCCCUGAGUCCCCACAAAGCAUGGCUUGCACCAGUGGCUGUGGCUGAAACAAAA